This 114-nucleotide ribosomal RNA is filed under the name Acanthosepion pharaonis. The record is from RNAcentral. Lineage: Eukaryota; Metazoa; Mollusca; Cephalopoda; Sepiida; Sepiidae.
CUACGGCCAUAUCACGAUGAAACAUCGGUUCACGUACGAUCACCGUAGUUAAGCAACGUCGACCCUUGUCAGUAUCUAGAUGGGUGACCGCUUGGGAAUACCAGGUGCUGCAGG